Molecule: ribosomal RNA, 550 nt
Filed under: uncultured Glomus
Lineage: Eukaryota; Fungi; Glomeromycota; Glomeromycetes; Glomerales; Glomeraceae
Description: SSU rRNA
Rfam family: Eukaryotic small subunit ribosomal RNA
Source: RNAcentral
UUGGAGGGCAAGUCUGGUGCCAGCAGCCGCGGUAAUUCCAGCUCCAAUAGCGUAUAUUAAAGUUGUUGCAGUUAAAAAGCUCGUAGUUGAAUUUCGGGAUCAAUAUAACGGUCAUGCCGUUGGUAUGCACUGUUAUCAUUGAUUUCUCACCUUCUAAGGAACCGUAAUGCCAUUAAUUUGGUGUUACGGGGAAUUAGGACUGUUACCUUGAAAAAAUUAGAGUGUUUAAAGCAGGCUCACGCUUGAAUACAUUAGCAUGGAAUAAUGAAAUAGGACAUCCGAUUCUAUUUUGUUGGUUUCUAGGAUCGAUGUAAUGAUUAAUAGGGAUAGUUGGGGGCAUUAGUAUUCAAUUGCCAGAGGUGAAAUUCUUGGAUUUAUUGAAGACUAACUACUGCGAAGGCAUUUGCCAAGGAUGUUUUCAUUAAUCAAGAACGAAAGUUAGGGGAUCGAAGACGAUCAGAUACCGUCGUAGUCUUAACCAUAAACUAUGCCGACUAGGGAUCGGAUGAUGUUAAUUUUUUAAUGACUCAUUCGGCGCCUUACGGGAAAC